Molecule: unclassified non-coding RNA, 379 nt
Filed under: uncultured Pseudomonadota bacterium
Lineage: Bacteria; Pseudomonadati; Pseudomonadota
Description: uncultured proteobacterium contains 16S-23S intergenic spacer region
Source: RNAcentral
UCCGAGUUGACCCCGGCAGUCUCCUAUGAGUCCCCACCAUAACGUGCUGGCAACAUAGGACGAGGGUUGCGCUCGUUGCGGGACUUAACCCAACAUCUCACGACACGAGCUGACGACAGCCAUGCAGCACCUGUGUUCCAGUUCCCUUUCGGGCACAGCCGCCUUUCAGCAGCCUUCCGGACAUGUCAAGGGUAGGUAAGGUUUUUCGCGUUGCAUCGAAUUAAUCCACAUAAUCCACCGCUUGUGCGGGUCCCCGUCAAUUCCUUUGAGUUUUAACCUUGCGGCCGUACUCCCCAGGCGGUCAACUUCACGCGUUAGCUUCGUUACCAAGGAAUUGCUUCCCCGACAACUAGUUGACAUCGUUUAGGGCUAGGACUAC